Molecule: long non-coding RNA, 544 nt
Organism: Athene cunicularia (burrowing owl)
Lineage: Eukaryota; Metazoa; Chordata; Aves; Strigiformes; Strigidae
Exons: 3
Source: RefSeq, a predicted model, not a curated record
CCUUUUUUUUUUUUUUUUUUUUUUUUUUAAAAAAAAAAAAAAAAAGAAAGGAAGACAUUGAAGGGUUUUCUAUAUGUAAUAGGGAAACAAUUCCAAGAAGAGACCCGUAGCUCUUCCCACCCCAGGCAGAGUCCACCCCGGCGAGCACGAGCUGCGGUACGGCCCCCCCCGGGGUCACCUCGAGGGUGUGAUGGUUGUGGUGUGCAGGGCUGAGGCACGGGGGGCUUGGGGAGGGGGAAAAACACCUUGCAAAUGCACAAACCGAGGAGGGCGGCCAAGGCACGGACUGUGUUCUUCAGCUAGAGGCAGCUUUUGAGUAACAAGUGUAUUUAUUAAUUAGCACUAAGGUAUUAACAUCCCAGUAAUCAGUAUUAGGAUCCUGAGGAGCGUUGCAGUUCAGUUCCCCGUGCAGAGAAUCAUCCCGUGCCCUGCUCCGGGGGGUUCACACCCCGCUCCGACUCCCAGUUCCUUGGACAAUCCAGUUCAGCUUCCCUGCUGAGGACCCCCUGGGCAAAAUCCCGGGAAAGCCCUGGACGAAAAACCC